UUUUUUUUUUUUUUUUUCCUUUUCUACUGCCAAGCAUUAGUCAUAACUUUAUAUCAUCCUUACCACCUACAAGGACAUAUUCCUAUGAUGACUUGGGGUUACUCUUGCUCCUGACCUUUAUGUUCCACUGGAAAUUUCAUCAAGCUGAAUUCAGUUUUUCCUUAGUCUAGAUCAUUAAAGUAGUCACAGAGAGCCAGGUCCUCUGGAUGAGUUAUAUAAUCCCAUAGGCACAUCAAUUCUGAGGAGUAUGCAAACUGGCUUUAGGCCAAGGAAAGGGCUUAUGUCUCCAUCUCCGCCUCUCUGACUCCCUCUCUCUCCCUCUCUCCUUUAUCUCCUCAUCAUCCUCCUUUUCUCAGGGAAAAGAUGGAGAGUAAAUUUCUUACCUGCUUCCCUUCUCUAGCCAUAUCCGUUCGAUUCCUGGCAUUUCAUAGUUCCAACACCACUAUACAUGCUUUCCUAAAAAUGUUCUUAACAUGCUAGCCCAAGGAAAUCAGGACUGAAGCCAAUCUCACAGCCAGUACACAUGAAGCUCAUGCAUCCUCUGGGGAAAACUUGUCAGGUGUAUUCCUUUGCUUGCUUUCCUCUAGUUGCAGCAAUUUGGGAUGAUAUGUAUAUUUGGAUGCUCCAUUGAAACAGAUCAUCUAUAAUUUAUGACAGCAUCCCUCUCCUGUAGCUGCACUUGCAUAUGAGGGUAUUAACAGAAAGAUAAUUUUGGCAGCUGCCAUUAUCCUUGGAGAAUUAGAGUUAGCAGAAACUAGACCUCUCUUUGGAGAAGGCAAUGGCACCCCACUCCAGUACUCUUGCCUGGAAAAUCCCAUGGACGGAGGAGCCUGGUAGGCUGCAGUCCAUGGGGUCGCUAAGAGUCGGACAUGACUGAGCGACUUCACUUUCACUUUUCACUUUCAUGCUUUGGGAAGGAAAUGGCAACCCACUCCAGUGUUCUUGCCUGGAGAAUCCUAGGGAUUCUUCCAGGGGGAGCCUGGUGGGCUGCCAUCUAUGGGGUCUCACAGAGUCGGACACAACUGAAGUAACUUAGCAGCAGCAGCAGACCUCUCUUUAACGCAGCCAGCUUCAAUAAAAAGGGAAACAUAGGACAAAGACUAUGAAGCUGAAACUCCAAUACUUUGGCCACCUGAUGCAAAGAACUGACUCAUUGGAAAAGACCCUGAUGAUGGGAAAGAUUGAAGGCGGGAGAAGAAGGGGACGACAGAAGAUGAGAUGGACGGAUGGCAUCACUGACUCGAUGGAUUUGAGUUUGAGUAAACUCUGGGAGUUGGUGAUGGACAGGGAAGACCGGUGUGCUGCAGUCCAUGGGGUCGCAAAGAGUCGGACACAACUAAGCAACUGAACUGAACUGAACUGAGGACAAAUCCUGCUCAGUGCCAUUCAGUCCUUGUCACACUCUGGUCCUAGCUUGUUCUUGAGGGUUAUUGAUUUAACUUACAUUCUUCCUUUUCAGACAUGCAGGUUCAGCAGGCAAUGGUAUCCAGGUGCACAGAUCCAGUGAAGGCUUUCAUUUCACUUUCUGGCAAUGAAUCCUCAGCAUGGAGCCAGAUUCUCCCAGUGGGCAAGUUCUACUGUGGGAAAGGGAGAGGUAACUCUGAAGUUGUAACUCCUUCAAGCAGCCAGGAUUCCCUUGAGGAAGAGAGAUCCUCAAGACAGGAACUCUGCUUCAUCCAAGGGCCUCAUUUCAGCAAUGUGGAUAUCUAUAUGGAUAAACUCACGAUUCAGCUCACCACUGAUCAACUGUGAAUUGCUGUUCCAUGUACAAAUCAGAUCAGAACCAACGGGCAAACCUGCCAUUGUUGUUGCUGUAUUGCCAGAAAUAAUAGCCAUGUGCCUGAUUGUGUCCUAACAAGCUGGCCUGAGGAUGGGGUGAAAACACUCUGUUCUCCAGGCUCAGACCUCUCAUUUGUAGGAUGAUUUUAAGUUGUGUUGCAUCAAGUCCUUGGUGAGGGCUAAGCAACCUGGCUCCUGAGCCUUUCCAGCCCAUGCCAACUAGAAUCGCUCCAUUCUUAAUGGUUUAAUACUUAGGGUUUUAUCUCAGACUGUGUUUGAAAGAAAGGUCCUACAAGGAAAAAGCAAGUUUGAAAAUGACUGAUCUGGGAUAUACUCUAAUUUCCCUAGCAAUACCUCUGCUGGAAAAGUGUCCACAUUUUAUCAGUGCCUCUCCAAAACUCUUCAUGUGGCACUCCAGGCCUUGCAAGCACUGGCACCAAGCCUCUCCCCUCGGGGUCCCCAAUACCCACCCCCAUGUGCCUCCUUCCAUUUAUAACAGAUCAUUCCCUAAAUAGCCCACAUUCCUUCUCUCCUCUACUUAUCAAUUUUGAAAAACUAUUCUCAUCUUUCCAAGCCCGAUUCAAAAUGUUCCUCCAUGGAGAAGUCCCCAGCUUCCCCCUCCUUCUCCAAGAAGUGGAAAUAUUGUUUGUUUGAAUCUAUGCUGUGAACACACUCUUCAUUGAUUAUUUGUCAAUGCAACUCCCACAUUCUACUUCAGGAGAGCAGAAAAUGGUCUGUGUCCUUCCCUAAAGCCAGUGGAGGACACUGCACACAGCAAUGCAUAAUGAACCUUCUUCUUGUCUGGGUUAUUAGUUUUCUCCAUCUUCUGAGCCAAACUCCUUCUCACCUUCAGGACCUGGAUGGAAAAUGGCUUCCUCCAGGAACCCUUCCCUGACUCUGUGUCCUCACCAAACACAUUAUAAGCACUUUCAUUAUAUUAUUACAUUUCACUUAAAAUCAUUUAUUUCGAUGCACAACUUCCUCCCACAAAGUGAGUUUCCUGAGGGCAAAACUGUCCUAUUUAUCUUUAUGGCAGAGCUUAAUGU
Bos taurus (domestic cattle) is the source of this 2825-nucleotide long non-coding RNA. Lineage: Eukaryota; Metazoa; Chordata; Mammalia; Artiodactyla; Bovidae. The record is from Ensembl.